CGACGUGAGUAACCUGCCUUGGGGUGGGGAAUAACACAGUGAAAACUGUGCUAAUACCGCAUAAUGCAUUUGGGUCGCAUGAUUCUGAAUGCCAAAGAUUUAUCGCUCUGAGAUGGACUCGCGUCUGAUUAGCUAGUUGGCGGGGUAACGGCCCACCAAGGCGACGAUCAGUAGCCGGACUGAGAGGUUGGCCGGCCACAUUGGGACUGAGACACGGCCCAG
Molecule: ribosomal RNA, 222 nt
Filed under: uncultured bacterium
Lineage: Bacteria
Description: partial 16S ribosomal RNA
Rfam family: Bacterial small subunit ribosomal RNA
Source: RNAcentral